CUAGUCUGAGUUGCUCCCCACAAUGUCUAGCUGUGAGUACAGCUAGAUGCUUCUCCCUGUUCCAUGCUCCAAUUACUUAACUGACUCUUCUUAAAUUACAGGACAGGAAGAGGUUCUCAGAGGUGUAUGUACCCCUCACAGCCUCUGGUCAGGCAAACCUGUUACGAGGUCUCUGGGUAGAAGAGCUGUGAAUGUGCUGCAGCUCUCAGGCCUACGCCACCUUCUCCUGGGGAUGAUGAUUCUACCAUGGACUGAGCACAGCAGGGACACCAGAGCUUGAUCACUCCUGCCCAACACUGCCAUCUCUGAUGGACAACCUGUGCCGUGGGACCCGUAUCAGCCUGACCAAGACUCUCGGAGCAACAAUCUUAGGCUCUGCUUCCACAGUUGCCCAUGCCUGGAGUCAUUCCUGUGAAUCCUUUAAGGGCUUUUUCUCCUGGUCCUGCUCUUGUCCCCCAUUUUAUUCUAGAUUGGAGAAAAUGCCAACCACAGAAACCUCUGUGCAAAGAUAAUAUUAAUAAUGAUCAGUAUUACCCUUACCAGUUUCUAAGAACUCUUUUAAUAAGUUGUCUUUUUCAAAAUUCUGAGAAAAAGACCUCCCCACCAACAGACAUACCUAGUCUAAGAAGAAAAAGGAAAGAAAAUUCGCCCCUAGACAAGCUUGUGGACACAACACAGCUACUGCUCACCAAAAGGGGAGAUGAACAAAAGAUGCCAUUCUCUUCUGUUUCCUGAGAAAUGUUGCAAGGAGCAAGCUGCACAGAUCCUUAGACAAAAGGAAAAACAGUAUUUUUAACAAGAUUUUCUUGCUUCUGCUUCGUCCCCUUGUCAUAAUCACAUAAGUCAUCUUUUAUGAUGAAAUGGCAAAGGUCUCAUAGGAAGCAGGUGAUGAUGUAGGGACAGUGCCAUGGCCGGAAUUGUGACCCCAAACACCAUGCACAAACUCUUAUGUUGAAAGCCCUAGGCCCCUGUGUGUCUGCAUUUAGGGAUGGUACCUUUAAUGGAGUGACUAAAGGCAAAUGAAGUUCUAAUUCAAGAGGAUGGUGCCAUUAUAAAGAGAGGAAGAGACAAGAAAAUGUCCUCUCUCUCUGUCUCCGUCUCUCUCUCUCUUUCCCCUCCCCCCAUCCCGGUCUCUCCUCCUCACAGCAGAGGACACAGAAAAAAGACAGCCACCUAUGAGCAAGAGAUGAGGCCUUGGAAUGAGACCUACCUUUCUAGUGCUUUGGUCUCGCAUUCCCCAGAGGACUCCAGACUGUGAGAAAUAGAUGUCUCUUGUUUGAGCCUCAUAUUCUAUGAUAUUCUCUUAUGGCAGCCUGAGCUUACUAGUGCAGAUGCUAAAUACAGUUAUUAGAUCCAUCUCUUUCCAAGUGAAAUAAGCAUCAUCACAAGGCAGAUAGACAAGGGCUGCCCGGAUACAAUCAAAUACAGAGGUAUAAUUUAAGGAAAAGCAUUAAUUCUUUGCCUUUGGUUAAAUUCUCAUUAGAUAACUUUUCAAAUUUUUUAUUAAUUAUUAAUUUUAUUUGAAAGGCACAGAAACAGAGCGAUACAGACAUACAUCUUACGUCCACUGGCUCACUCUUCAAAUGCUUGUUAACAGGCAAGACUGGGCCAGGCCGAAGCCAGGAGGCAACAGCUCCAUCCUGGUCUUCCACAUGGAUGUCAGGGACCAACCAGUGGGGCCAUGACUUCUGCCUCCUAGGAUGUGCAUUAACCCAAGCUGUAGUAGGGAGUAAAA
This 1735-nucleotide long non-coding RNA is filed under the name Oryctolagus cuniculus (rabbit). RNAcentral's name for it is "lncRNA (ENSOCUG00000035104.1)". Lineage: Eukaryota; Metazoa; Chordata; Mammalia; Lagomorpha; Leporidae. The record is from RNAcentral.